This 183-nucleotide unclassified non-coding RNA is filed under the name uncultured fungus. RNAcentral's name for it is "sequence contains ITS1, 5.8S rRNA gene". The record is from RNAcentral. Lineage: Eukaryota; Fungi.
CCAAAUCAACGGCCGAAAGGCCUUGCCCUAGGGGGGGAGACUCCCCGACGGUAAACCCUUUGUGAAAACCCUUCGUUUGCCUCGGCGGCACGUUUUAAUUAGGGGUCAGCCCGCCGACGGCACCAACCAAAACUCUUUUUUUUUGAAUUGAAGAAUGUCUGAAUCAAUGGUCGAAUGACUAUA